This 244-nucleotide long non-coding RNA is filed under the name Carica papaya (papaya). Its description in RNAcentral is "long non-coding RNA (CPAP_LNC001987)". The record is from RNAcentral. Lineage: Eukaryota; Viridiplantae; Streptophyta; Magnoliopsida; Brassicales; Caricaceae.
CCACCAUUCCCAAUCGACCUAUAUAGGAAAGAAACUAAGGAACUCCAAUGCCGAGUGGAAGAGCUACUAGCCAAGGGGCAUGUUAGGGAAAGUUUGAGCCUGUGUGUUGUACCUAUCCUAUUAAUACCCAAAAAAACACUUCCUAAAGAAUGUGUGUCAACUUUUGGACUGUCAACGAAAUUACUGUAAAAUAUAGACACACUAUUUCGCAAUUAGAUGACAUGCUAAAUGAACUUAGCAGGGC